UAUUAAAAUAUUAAGAGUUUACGGUGGAUGCCUUGGCUCUGUCAGUCGAUGAAGGACGCGGCAAGCUGCGAAAAGUUCCGGGGAGUUGCAAGCAAACUUUGAUCCGGAAAUAUCCGAAUGGGGAAACCCUGUCGGGAAAAACCCGACAAUCUUAACCCGAAUCAAAUAGGGUUAAAGAAGUAAACGCGGGGAAGUGAAACAUCUCAGUACCCGCAGGAAGAGAAAACAAGCAAGUGAUUCCCUGAGUAGUGGUGAGCGAACGGGGAAGAGCCUAAACCGUUUGUAGUCAAAAGAUGAUCCUAUUAUACAAACGGGGUUGUAGGAUUAAGUUGCAGAGAAUGGUCAUAUUCUUUGGAGAAGUUACAAAAUAAUUUGUUAGCUGAAAAAGACUGGAAAGUCUUUGCGAUACAGGGUGAUAGUCCCGUAAGCGAAAACAAAUUAUCUUCUUGGAUUUAAUCCUGAGUAGGGCGGAGCACGUGGAAUUCCGUCUGAAUCUGCCAGGACCAUCUGGUAAGGCUAAAUACUGAACAGAGACCGAUAGCGGACAAGUACCGUGAGGGAAAGGUGAAAAGUACCCCGGGAGGGGAGUGAAAUAGAAUCUGAAACCGUAUAACUUACAAAGGUGUAGUGGGGCUAUGUUUAAUAGAAAUGUUACCUAGUAAUUGAUUUGUUAAAACAGCCUUCCUGCGUGCCUUUUGUAGAAUGAGCCGGCGAGUUACUAUGUGAUGCAAGGUUAAGAACUUAAGGUUCGGAGCCGAAGCGAAAGCGAGUCCUAAUAGGGCGCAUAAUAUUUUUACUGUUUAUAUCCGAAAGGUUAUAAACGGUUAAGAUAUUCAGUAUUAUGUAGUAGACGCGAAACCAAGUGAUCUAAUCAUGGUCAGAUUGAAGCUUCGGUAAAACGAAGUGGAGGAUCGAACUAAUGUAGGUUGAAAACUACUUGGAUGAACUGUGAUUAGGGGUGAAAGGCUAAUCAAACUUGGUGAUAGCUCGUUCUCCCCGAAAUAUAUUGAGGUAUAGCCUCGUAACGUACGGCAUGGGGGUAGAGCACUAGAUGGGCUAGGGGUCCUACCAGAUUACUGAACCCAACUAAACUCCGAAUACCAUGGCCGCCAAUUACGGGAGUCAGACUGCGGGUGCUAAGAUUCGUAGUCGAGAGGGAAACAGCCCAGAUCAUCAGUUAAGGUCCCAAAAGUAAACUAAGUGGUAAAGGAUGUGAAAUUGCCCAGACAGCCAGGAAGUUGGCUUAGAAGCAGCCAUCUUUUAAAGAGUGCGUAAUAGCUCACUGGUCAAGUGAUUUUGCGCCGAAACAUUUCCGGGGCUAAAGUUUACUACCGAAACUAUGGACUCAGAAGCAAUUCUGAUUGGUAGGGGAGCGUUCAAACGGCGUUGAAGCCAUACCGUAAGGAGUGGUGGAGCGGUUUGAAGUGAUUAUGCCGGCUUGAGUAACGUUAAAAUAGGUCUAAAUACCUAUUCGCCGAAAGCCUAAGGUUUCCUAGCGCAACGAUAACCGGCGCAGGGUUAGUCGGCCCCUAAGACGAGGCGGAAACGCGUAGUCGAUGGGAAACAGGUUAAUAUUCCUGUACCGUCUAAUGAUCGUUUGACGAUGGGGUGACGCAGACAGUUAAGUUGGCGUGUUAUUGGAUUCACGUUUGCUUUUGUAGGUAGGAUUUAUAGGUAAAUCCGUAAGUCCGUUAAUCUGAGGAAAGCGACGAAGUCGGUUUCGGCCGGCGAAGCAAUGUAUGCUAUACUGCCAAGAAAUAACCUCUAAGAAGAUUAUUAGAUGACCGUACCAUAAACCGACACAGGUAGGCGAGGAGAAUAUCCAAAGGCGCUCGAGAGAACUCUUGUUAAGGAACUCGGCAAAUUAACCCCGUAACUUCGGGAUAAGGGGAGCCUGAGUAGUGUGAAAACAUCUUUUAAUCGAAGCGUGUUCAGCAUGAAAAGGCCGCAGAAAAGUGGCCCAAGCGACUGUUUAGCAAAAACACAGCGCUUUGCUAAGUCAUUAAGACGAUGUAUAAGGCGUGACACCUGCCCGGUGCUGGAAGGUUAAGGAAGGGGGUUAGGACGCAAGUCUGAAGCUCUUGACUGAAGCCCCAGUAAACGGCGGCCGUAACUAUAACGGUCCUAAGGUAGCGAAAUUCCUUGUCGGGUAAGUUCCGACCUGCACGAAUGGUGUAACGACUUGGGCACUGUCUCAACAAGUGACUCGGUGAAAUAGUAUUUCUGGUGAAGAUGCCAGAUUCCCGCAGCUAGACAGGAAGACCCUGUGAACCUUUACUGUAACUUCAUAUUGAGUUUGAAUGAAUUAUGUACAGGAUAGAUGGGAGACUGUGAAGCGGGCGCGUCAGCGUUCGCGGAGUCGUCCUUGGGAUACCAUCCUUAAUUUAUUUAGAUUCUAACCCUAUUCCGUGAAACCGGAUAGGGAACAGUGUGUGGUGGGCAGUUUGACUGGGGCGGUCACCUCCCAAAAGGUAACGGAGGUGUACAAAGGUUCCCUCAGCACGGUCGGUAAUCGUGCGAAGAGCGUAAAGGUAUAAGGGAGCUUGACUGCGAGACCGACGGGUCGAGCAGGUACGAAAGUAGGUCUUAGUGAUCCGGUGGUUCUGUAUGGAAGGGCCAUCGCUCAACGGAUAAAAGGUACUCCGGGGAUAACAGGCUGAUCCUAUCCAAGAGCUCACAUCGACGAUAGGGUUUGGCACCUCGAUGUCGGCUCAUCGCAUCCUGGGGCUGUAGAAGGUCCCAAGGGUUGGGCUGUUCGCCCAUUAAAGCGGUACGCGAGCUGGGUUCAGAACGUCGUGAGACAGUUCGGUCCCUAUCUGCUGCGGGCGUAGGAUAUUUGAGGGGAGCUGACUUUAGUACGAGAGGACCGAGUCGGACGAACCUAUGGUUUACCAGUUGUCGCGCCAGCGGCACCGCUGGGUAGCUAUGUUCGGAAGGGAUAACCGCUGAAAGCAUCUAAGCGGGAAGCCCACCCCAAGAUAAGAUAUCCCCGCGGGAAAUUAAUUUUGAAUUUUGUCUUCGGAUUUUAGGAAAGAUUAAUGGAACGUCUAAAGACCCCUGAGAGAUCAUCAGGUUGAUAGGCUGGAAGUAUAAGGGCAGUAAUGUCUUAAGCUGACCAGUACUAAUAGGUCGUGAGUUUUAAUAUU
RNAcentral lists this ribosomal RNA (3146 nucleotides) under Bacteroidales bacterium. RNAcentral's name for it is "23S ribosomal RNA". It matches the Rfam family "Bacterial large subunit ribosomal RNA". Lineage: Bacteria; Pseudomonadati; Bacteroidota; Bacteroidia; Bacteroidales. The record is from RNAcentral.